RNAcentral lists this ribosomal RNA (660 nucleotides) under uncultured bacterium. Its description in RNAcentral is "bacterial SSU rRNA". It matches the Rfam family "Bacterial small subunit ribosomal RNA", at positions 94 to 788 of the family's 1533-position model. The record is from RNAcentral.
AGUGGCGGACGGGUGAGUAACGCGUGAGAAUCUGCCUUCAGGAUGGGGACAACAGUUGGAAACGACUGCUAAUACCCAAUAUGCCUACGGGUGAAACCUUUUUUGGCCUGAAGAUGAGCUCGCGUCUGAUUAGCUAGUUGGUGGUGUAAUGGACUACCAAGGCGACGAUCAGUAGCUGGUCUGAGAGGAUGAGCAGCCACACUGGGACUGAGACACGGCCCAGACUCCUACGGGAGGCAGCAGUGGGGAAUUUUCCGCAAUGGGCGAAAGCCUGACGGAGCAAUACCGCGUGAGGGAGGAAGGUUCUUGGAUUGUAAACCUCUUUUCUCAGGGAAGAAUUUUGACGGUACCUGAGGAAUAAGCAUCGGCUAACUCCGUGCCAGCAGCCGCGGUAAUACGGGGGAUGCAAGCGUUAUCCGGAAUUAUUGGGCGUAAAGAGUCCGUAGGUGGUCAUGCAAGUCUGCUGUCAAAGCCCACAGCUCAACUGUGGAUCGGCGGUGGAAACUGUGUGACUUGAGUAUGGUAGGGGUAGAGGGAAUUCCCAGUGUAGCGGUGAAAUGCGUAGAUAUUGGGAAGAACACCGGUGGCGAAAGCGCUCUACUGGACCAUAACUGACACUGAGGGACGAAAGCCAAGGUAGCGAAAGGGAUUAGAUACCCC